AACGUAGGACGCAAGCGUUAUCCGGAGUUACUGGGCGUAAAGCGCGGGCAGGCGGUUCUGCCAGUCUGAUGUGAAAUCUCCCCGCUCAACGGGGAGCAGCCAUUGGAAACUACAGAACUGGAGUCUGACAGAGGUAGGCGGAAUUCCGGGUGGAGUGAUGAAAUGCGUAGAGAUCCGGAGGAACACCAGAGGCGAAGGCGGCCUACUGGGUCAGUACUGACGCUGAGCCGCGAAAGCCAGGGGAGCGAACGGG
Molecule: ribosomal RNA, 253 nt
Filed under: uncultured bacterium
Lineage: Bacteria
Description: partial 16S ribosomal RNA
Rfam family: Bacterial small subunit ribosomal RNA
Source: RNAcentral